RNAcentral lists this transfer RNA (83 nucleotides) under Schistocephalus solidus. It matches the Rfam family "tRNA". From Rfam's summary of the family: Transfer RNA (tRNA) molecules are approximately 80 nucleotides in length. Their secondary structure includes four short double-helical elements and three loops (D, anti-codon, and T loops). Further hydrogen bonds mediate the characteristic L-shaped molecular structure. tRNAs have two regions of fundamental functional importance: the anti-codon, which is responsible for specific mRNA codon recognition, and the 3' end, to which the tRNAs corresponding amino acid is attached (by aminoacyl-tRNA synthetases). tRNAs cope with the degeneracy of the genetic code in two manners: having more than one tRNA (with a specific anti-codon) for a particular amino acid; and 'wobble' base-pairing, i.e. permitting non-standard base-pairing at the 3rd anti-codon position. The record is from Rfam by way of RNAcentral. Lineage: Eukaryota; Metazoa; Platyhelminthes; Cestoda; Diphyllobothriidea; Diphyllobothriidae.
GGCCUCGUAGCUCAGUUGGCUAGAGCGUUGGCUGUACUAAAGCCUUCCUCUAACUGGCGUGGGUUCGAAUCCCACCGAGGCCG